GAUGAACGCUGGCGGCGUGCCUAAUACAUGCAAGUCGAGCGAACGGACGAGAAGCUUGCUUCUCUGAUGUUAGCGGCGGACGGGUGAGUAACACGUGGAUAACCUACCUAUAAGACUGGGAUAACUUCGGGAAACCGGAGCUAAUACCGGAUAAUAUUUUGAACCGCAUGGUUCAAAAGUGAAAGACGGUCUUGCUGUCACUUAUAGAUGGAUCCGAGCUGCAUUAGCUAGUUGGUAAGGUAACGGCUUACCAAGGCAACGAUGCAUAGCCGACCUGAGAGGGUGAUCGGCCACACUGGAACUGAGACACGGUCCAGACUCCUACGGGAGGCAGCAGUAGGGAAUCUUCCGCAAUGGGCGAAAGCCUGACGCAGCAACGCCGCGUGAGUGAUGAAGGUCUUCGGAUCGUAAAACUCUUUUAUUAGGGAAGAACACAAGUGUAAGUAACUGUGCACAUCUUGACGGUACCUAAACAGAAAGCCACGGCUAACUACGUG
This 497-nucleotide ribosomal RNA is filed under the name uncultured bacterium. RNAcentral's name for it is "partial 16S ribosomal RNA". It matches the Rfam family "Bacterial small subunit ribosomal RNA", at positions 28 to 507 of the family's 1533-position model. The record is from RNAcentral.